This 103-nucleotide microRNA precursor is filed under the name Marmota monax (woodchuck). Lineage: Eukaryota; Metazoa; Chordata; Mammalia; Rodentia; Sciuridae. The record is from RNAcentral.
AGAAAGACAGCUGGGUCAAAUGGUGGUUCCAUUUCCAGUUUUCCAAGGAAUCUCCAUACUGCUUUCCAGAUUGGCUGCACCAAUUUGCAGUCCCACCAGCCAU